Molecule: ribosomal RNA, 203 nt
Filed under: uncultured bacterium
Lineage: Bacteria
Description: partial 16S ribosomal RNA
Rfam family: Bacterial small subunit ribosomal RNA
Source: RNAcentral
AUUACUCCUACGGGAGGCAGCAGUGGGGAAUAUUGCACAAUGGGCGCAAGCCUGAUGCAGCCAUGCCGCGUGUAUGAAGAAGGCCUUAGGGUUGUAAAGUACUUUCAGUUGGGAGGAAGGCGUUGAUGCUAAUAUCAUCAGCGAUUGACGUUACCAACAGAAGAAGCACCGGCUAACUCCGUGCCAGCAGCCGCGGUAAUAAU